Molecule: ribosomal RNA, 485 nt
Filed under: Salmonella enterica
Lineage: Bacteria; Pseudomonadati; Pseudomonadota; Gammaproteobacteria; Enterobacterales; Enterobacteriaceae
Description: partial 23S ribosomal RNA
Rfam family: Bacterial large subunit ribosomal RNA
Source: RNAcentral
UCCUGUCUGAAUAUGGGGGGACCAUCCUCCAAGGCUAAAUACUCCUGACUGACCGAUAGUGAACCAGUACCGUGAGGGAAAGGCGAAAAGAACCCCGGCGAGGGGAGUGAAAAAGAACCUGAAACCGUGUACGUACAAGCAGUGGGAGCCCCACCACUAAGCCAGUGGUGAACUCCACAUACGCAUCCUUUGCUGAGGAUACGGUUAACGGAGCGAAAGCGACGUUCAACCUCAAAAGAAGCAGAGGGGGCUUAGUGGUGGGGUGACUGCGUACCUUUUGUAUAAUGGGUCAGCGACUUAUAUUCUGUAGCAAGGUUAACCGAAUAGGGGAGCCGUAGGGAAACCGAGUCUUAAUUGGGCGUUAAGUUGCAGGGUAUAGACCCGAAACCCGGUGAUCUAGCCAUGGGCAGGUUGAAGGUUGGGUAACACUAACUGGAGGACCGAACCGACUAAUGUUGAAAAAUUAGCGGAUGACCUGUGGCUGG